AUCAACAUUCAACCAGAACCAUAGAGUUCAAUAAUAUACUUUCAGCUUAUUGCGAAGGUAUUGGAGCUUCUACACAUCAAGGUAUUUUCUUUUUAUCAACUGAAAUAUUAGUGUAUAUAUAUAUAUAUAUAUAUAUAUCUAUAAAUCUAUAAUAUAUGAAAUAUAUAUAUAUAUAUAUAUAUAUGGAAAUCACCCUAAUUCAUGUUUGUAUGUUUUCUUUAGGAUGAAAAUUACGGUGACAAUUAAAAAGGAUGAGAAAGUGGUGCACGUAAUAUCUGUGGAGCAGACACAGAAAAUAUCAGAGUUGAAAUUCUCACCGAAGUUGAGGAAACAAAUGCAUAAUCAUUAUUUUAACUUUUUCUGUGAAGGUCCUGGACGAAGAAGAACAAACUUGGAGAGAUUUUUAUAGUGAUUAUGCUACUGAAUAUCAACUUAAUCCUGAUUGUGCAUGUUUUACUUUCAUUGUCCAUCUAACACCUAAGUGUGAUCGGAUAUACUUUCAUACUUGAAGUAGAUAUUUUUUUUGUCUUAGCAGUUGAAUGUUAAAUAACAGCUGAGAUGAGAUGAUAAAUUACCACACAAAAAUAAUUUUUUUAUUAGAAUAAUACUCGUGCUUUAGUUAAGUGUGGG
RNAcentral lists this long non-coding RNA (630 nucleotides) under Carica papaya (papaya). Its description in RNAcentral is "long non-coding RNA (CPAP_LNC012521)". Lineage: Eukaryota; Viridiplantae; Streptophyta; Magnoliopsida; Brassicales; Caricaceae. The record is from RNAcentral.